Cornus florida is the source of this 660-nucleotide long non-coding RNA. RefSeq lists it as uncharacterized. Lineage: Eukaryota; Viridiplantae; Streptophyta; Magnoliopsida; Cornales; Cornaceae. The record is from RefSeq and is a predicted model, not a curated record. The transcript has 2 exons.
AUGUGUAUAUGUUUAUGUGUGGUGCAAAUUAAAGUAAAAGAAAAGGGAAAAUAAAAAGAAAAUAGUAGGGCCCACUCUUCCUUUAAUUUUAAUGGUCAAGAGACUAUCUCUAGUCUCUAAUCUCUCUUCAGUCCCGUUACUCUCUCUCAUUUCCUCUCAAACUUGCUUUUUCUUUUGCAAUCAAAACUUUGAUCUUAGAUUUCUCUUUCAUUAUUUGGAAUUUUUAAAUGUCGUUUGCAGCAAAUUGAAGCCCGCGACGAGAUCUUCAAAUCCAUACCAGCAAUUUUAGCUUUUGGCCACUCUAGGAAGUCCGAAAAUUGAGACCCAUUUUGAGGGUUUGAGGUGAAAAUUGGGGCUUUUGGCUUAGAUUGAGAUAGGGGUUUCUAAUUCCCAAUUUCUUGUUCUUUUGUACCGAAGAUGAACGGGAAUCGUAGAUUCGAGCUUAGGCGGAAGAGUUGGCCUGGAGGAUUUAUUUUAUUUAUUUGGAGAUUUUUUUGUGUAUUUGAGGAAAUUAACUUUGUAUAAAAGAGGGGGUAAUUUUUGUGAUCCUGGUGUAUUUUGAUAUAUCUGAUUUUGAAUAAAUUGAGGAUUUUAUUGGAAUUGUCAGGGUGUGACAUAAUUGUUGUAAUAAAAAGUUUGUGCUUAGUCGUGUUGAUGGUA